CCUACGGGAGGCAGCAGUGGGGAAUCUUCCGCAAUGGACGAAAGUCUGACGGAGCAACGCCGCGUGAGUGAUGACGGCCUUCGGGUUGUAAAGCUCUGUUAAUCGGGACGAAAGGUCCUCUUGCGAAUAGUUAGAGGAAUUGACGGUACCGGAAUAGAAAGCCACGGCUAACUACGUGCCAGCAGCCGCGGUAAUACGUAGGUGGCAAGCGUUGUCCGGAAUUAUUUGGCGUAAAGCGCGCGCAGGCGGAUCAGUUAGUCUGUCUUAAAAGUUCGGGGAUUAAACCCGUGAUGGGAUGGAAACUGCUGAUCUAGAGUAUCGGAGAGGAAAGUGGAAUUCCUAGUGGAGCGGUGAAAUGCGUAGAUAUUAGGAAGAACACCAGUGGCGAAGGCGACUUUCUGGACGAAAACUGACGCUGAGGCGCGAAAGCCAGGGGAGCGAACGGGAUUAGAUACCCGGGUAGUC
This 465-nucleotide ribosomal RNA is filed under the name uncultured bacterium. RNAcentral describes it as "partial 16S ribosomal RNA". It matches the Rfam family "Bacterial small subunit ribosomal RNA", at positions 338 to 795 of the family's 1533-position model. The record is from RNAcentral.